RNAcentral lists this long non-coding RNA (485 nucleotides) under Manacus vitellinus (golden-collared manakin). RNAcentral describes it as "lncRNA (ENSMVIG00005007274.1)". The record is from RNAcentral. Lineage: Eukaryota; Metazoa; Chordata; Aves; Passeriformes; Pipridae.
AUUUCUAUGAAUAGAACUUGGAGGAGUUGUGGAAGAUUUGCAGAUCCUGUAGUUUUGCAGUUGAAGCUGAUGACCAGCAGCUGACUACAGGUCUGGAGGCUGAGGAGCAAGUGGGAUGACUCUGAGCUGUCCAAGGGAGAUCUACAAGCAACUAGCAAGUGUCCCUGUAGUUUUCCAGUGUGCCAUUUUUUUUAUUACUGGAAGGAAGAUAAUACCUCUUGCUGAUAGUCAUCUGAACCAAUUUUAUUAUAUCGAUUGAAGUAAAUCCUAUAAUGUAAGUAUUCUUGCUUUCCUGUAUUGUGCCCUGUCAUCUGUGUUUGCUGGGAUUUUGGAUACUGGGGCUGGCUUUGGUUGAGAGAGCUUCUGUGUCUCUGAGAUUCACCCCCUAAGUGACUGGGAUCAUGCUGUAAGCAACUUUGUUCUCUGAGUUCUUGGGUACUCAUUAUCUCAUUGCUUCAAAAGCAGACUUAAUUCUUCAACCAAAG